Long non-coding RNA from Podarcis raffonei (Aeolian wall lizard), 563 nucleotides. RefSeq lists it as uncharacterized. NCBI's taxonomy places the organism in Eukaryota, Metazoa, Chordata, Lepidosauria, Squamata, Lacertidae. The transcript is spliced from 3 exons. The record is from RefSeq and is a predicted model, not a curated record.
CCUUUCAACGACAAAGCAGUAAUGAAAGGAUCUACACUUAGGGUUUCAGAGGUUUGGUUUUUUAAACUCUCUCUCUUGUUCUUGACACAUCCCCUCCCAAACACAUGGUCCCCUUAAAGCCACCAAGUUCUAUAUUCUGCUGGCUCCAUUUCAGCAAUAUCUGUCAAAGCAUAAUAUGCCUUUUAAAUCUGUGUCCAUCAGCUGUCCUGGAGAGGCGCAAACUGGCUGCCUAAACCUCAACAACUUCUCCGCACAUCAUCAGCACCACCAUCACUUGGGACCCAGCUACUAAAUUUCCAUGGGAUACAGGACAUGAAUGUGAGCCUGCCCGGGGGCAGCGGAAACAGGUAAUUUUGAUGCGCAUCUGUUGAUGUGACCUAUGGUCACACUAUGAGACCAUAACUGGCCCCAUCCUGGAAUUUUAAAAAGCAGAGGCGGCAGCGGUGUGGAGACUUGCUACCAUCUAAUUUGAUGUUCCAAGGAGCACCUUUGCCAAGUCAAAACUACCAGGAAAAGCUCCACAAAGGGCAAAGGGACAGGAAACAUUUCUGCCCUGGGAUUCA